CGGAGGGAGAAGUCUUCUCGGAGGUGGCCGNCUUUUAUAGCUUGCCCGUCCGCAAAAGGGAAGCCGGUUAAUAUUCCGGCACAGGGCUUCGGAGACGAUCGUCGCUUCGGCGGCAAGUGCGGCAACVAAUGACCUGGGAGACGUUCGCGGGCGUUCCGGGAAGAGUUUUCUUUUCUUUGUGAGGCUUCGCGCGCACCUUGGAAUCGGCUUGCCGGAGAUAAGGUCGCCUAGCCACAGAGCACCGCGCUUCUCGCGUGUCCGGUGCACGCCCGUGGGCCCUUGAAAAUCCCAGCGAGAGGGUGUAAUUUUCGAGCUC
This 316-nucleotide ribosomal RNA is filed under the name Protodrilus ciliatus. RNAcentral describes it as "LSU rRNA". It matches the Rfam family "Eukaryotic large subunit ribosomal RNA", at positions 1550 to 1840 of the family's 3401-position model. The record is from RNAcentral. Lineage: Eukaryota; Metazoa; Annelida; Polychaeta; Protodrilidae.